This 402-nucleotide ribosomal RNA is filed under the name uncultured Dyadobacter sp. RNAcentral describes it as "bacterial SSU rRNA". It matches the Rfam family "Bacterial small subunit ribosomal RNA", at positions 24 to 437 of the family's 1533-position model. Lineage: Bacteria; Pseudomonadati; Bacteroidota; Cytophagia; Cytophagales; Spirosomataceae. The record is from RNAcentral.
UCAGGAUGAACGCUAGCGGCAGGCUUAAUACAUGCAAGGCGAAGGGGCAGCAAUGUCACUGGCGUACGGGUGCGUAACGCGUAUGCAACCUGCCCAUCACUGGGGGAUAGCCCGGGGAAACCCGGAUUAAUACCGCAUAAAACAGGGGCACCGCAUGGUGAUAUUUGUUAAAGAUUUAUUGGUGAUAGAUGGGCAUGCGUUCGAUUAGCUAGUUGGCGGGGUAACGGCCCACCAAGGCUACGAUCGUUAGGGGAACUGAGAGGUUGAUCCCCCACACUGGCACUGAGAUACGGGCCAGACUCCUACGGGAGGCAGCAGUAGGGAAUAUUGGGCAAUGGAUGCAAGUCUGAACCAGCCAUGCCGCGUGCCGGAUGAAGGCCCUCAGGGUUGUAAACGGCUUUU